Molecule: unclassified non-coding RNA, 198 nt
Filed under: Malassezia globosa
Lineage: Eukaryota; Fungi; Basidiomycota; Malasseziomycetes; Malasseziales; Malasseziaceae
Description: sequence contains ITS1, 5.8S rRNA gene, ITS2, 28S rRNA gene
Rfam family: 5.8S ribosomal RNA (bases 1-101)
About the family: 5.8S ribosomal RNA (5.8S rRNA) is a component of the large subunit of the eukaryotic ribosome.
Source: RNAcentral
UGCAAGGGGUAUGUGAUUGCAGAAUUCCGUGAAUCAUCAGAAUCUUUAGAACGCACCUUGCGCUCUAUGGUAUUCCGUAGAGCAUGCCUGUUUGAGUGCCGUGAAUUCUCCCAUCCCAAGCGGUUUUUAUCAAAGAAUUGCUAGGCGAAGGGGUUGAGAUGGGCGUUGUUAUAACUGCUUUUCUUCUCUAGAACAAAA